CGCGGCCUAUCAGCUUGUUGGUGAGGUAAUGGCUCACCAAGGCGACGACGGGUAGCCGGCCUGAGAGGGCGACCGGCCACACUGGGACUGAGACACGGCCCAGACUCCUACGGGAGGCAGCAGUGGGGAAUAUUGCACAAUGGGCGCAAGCCUGAUGCAGCGACGCCGCGUGAGGGAUGAAGGCCCUAGGGUUGUAAACCUCUUUCAGCAGGGACGAAGCGAAAGUGACGGUACCUGCAGAAGAAGCCCCGGCUAACGACGUGCCAGCAGCCGCGGUAAUACGUAGGGGGCGAGCGUUGUCCGGAUUUAUUGGGCGUAAAGGGCUCCUAGGCGGUUCAGUAAGGCGACUGUGAAAAUCCAAGGCUCAACCUUGGGACGCCAGUCGAUACUGCUGUGACUCGAGUUCGGUAGAGGAGUGUGGAAUUCCUGGUGUAGCGGUGGAAUGCGCAGAUAUCAGGAGGAACACCAAUGGCGAAGGCAGGUCUCUGGGCCACAACUGACGCUGAGGAGCGAAAGCAUGGGGAGCGAACAGGAUUAGAUACCCUGGUAGUCCAUGCCGUAAACGGUGGGCACUAGAUGUGGGGCUCUUUCCAUGAGUUCCGCGUCGCAGCUAACGCAUUAAGUGCCCCGCCUGGGGAGUACGG
This 644-nucleotide ribosomal RNA is filed under the name uncultured Actinomycetes bacterium. RNAcentral's name for it is "bacterial SSU rRNA". It matches the Rfam family "Bacterial small subunit ribosomal RNA", at positions 232 to 885 of the family's 1533-position model. Lineage: Bacteria; Bacillati; Actinomycetota; Actinomycetes. The record is from RNAcentral.